This 253-nucleotide ribosomal RNA is filed under the name uncultured bacterium. Its description in RNAcentral is "partial 16S ribosomal RNA". It matches the Rfam family "Bacterial small subunit ribosomal RNA", at positions 524 to 776 of the family's 1533-position model. The record is from RNAcentral.
GACAGAGGGUGCGAACGUUGUUCGGAAUUACUGGGCGUAAAGCGCAUGUAGGCGGCAGCGCAAGUCGGGCGUGAAAUCCCACGGCUCAACCGUGGAAGUGCACUCGAAACUGCGCAGCUAGAGUCCUGGAGAGGAAGGUGGAAUGCUUGGUGUAGAGGUGAAAUGCGCAGAUAUCAGGAGGAACACCGGUGGCGAAGGCGGAUCUCUGGGCCUGAUCUGACGCUGAGGCGCGAAAGCUAGGGGAGCGAACAGG